RNAcentral lists this ribosomal RNA (828 nucleotides) under uncultured fungus. RNAcentral describes it as "eukaryotic LSU rRNA". The stretch from base 447 to 599 matches the Rfam family "5.8S ribosomal RNA". The record is from RNAcentral. Lineage: Eukaryota; Fungi.
ACUUUCCGCAAGUACGUCCGUGUGGUUUGCCUGCUGCCCGCCUUGCCCCGCGACUGAAAACAAUGUCACCGGUCUGCCCCCGAAGCAGGCGACACCGUAUCGUUGCUGCCACGCCCGGAGCCCUCGUCGACCGCGGGCCUCUUUGGCACAUCAGCAUCCGGGGAGAGGUCAGCAGACACCCCCCGGUCCACAGAUCAUGUGGCGGUGAUCCCUUGUGUCAGCAAGGGUUUGAGAGAUGAUCGGCCGGCCGCCUCAGGGCGCCCGUUUGCUGCGGAACCUGCGGAAGGAUCAUUACCGAGAGAGGCCCUCCGGGGUCAACCUCCCACCCGUGAUUACGUACCGAUGUUGCUUUGGCGGGCGGCAGGCCUGUGCCUGCCCACGCCCGUCAGAAGCCCCUCAAACCACCAGUUAAACCCCUGCCGUCUGAGUUCAAAGGUAAUAAUCAAAACUUUCAACAACGGAUCUCUUGGUUCCGGCAUCGAUGAAGAACGCAGCGAAAUGCGAUAAGUAAUGCGAAUUGCAGAAUCCGUGAGUCAUCGAAUCUUUGAACGCACAUUGCGCCCUUUGGUAUUCCGAAGGGCAUGCCUGUUCGAGCGUCAUUAUCACCCCUCAAGCUCCGGCUUGGUGUUGGGCUUUAGGCGGUUUUAACCAACCGCCGGCCUCAAAAAUAGUGACGGCGCCCCAGAUGGAACCGGUACGAGGAGCUUUUAUUCGAGCAUGUACGCGGCGUGAAUCUGCGGGCGGCGGUCUUUAACCACUACUCUUCGGAGUAUUUUCUAAGUGUUGACCUCGGAUCAGGUAGGGAUACCCCGCUGAACUUAAGCUAUA